CCCUUAGAUGUUCUGGGCGGCCCGCGCACUACAAUGGCGUGUGCAGCGAGUGCCGAAGUAGAGUUUUCCGAGGUAUUCUUGCAAUGCUCGUUUUGAUGGGGAUAGACCCUUGCAACUGUUGGUUUUGAACGAGGAAUUCCUUGUAAGCAUGGUUUAUCAUCCGACGCUGAAUGCGUCCCUGCCCUUUGUACACACCGCCCGUCGCUCCUACCGAUGAGUCGUCCGGUGAAGUUCGUAGACCUCGUGAUCGCGGAUCACUGGGGGAAGCAAAAUGAACCUCGCGGUUUAGAGGAGGGAGAAGUCGUAACA
RNAcentral lists this ribosomal RNA (309 nucleotides) under uncultured eukaryote. RNAcentral describes it as "partial 18S ribosomal RNA". It matches the Rfam family "Eukaryotic small subunit ribosomal RNA", at positions 1470 to 1796 of the family's 1831-position model. The record is from RNAcentral.